Long non-coding RNA from Etheostoma spectabile (orangethroat darter), 702 nucleotides. RefSeq lists it as uncharacterized. Lineage: Eukaryota; Metazoa; Chordata; Actinopteri; Perciformes; Percidae. The transcript is spliced from 3 exons. The record is from RefSeq and is a predicted model, not a curated record.
UAUUUAUUGUUGUUGUUUUUUUGGCGUGUACCUGUGUUUUCUGAAUGGAUGCUGGGAAACCCAUCAGUUGAUUUUUGCAUAUGUCUUGCCUGUCAGUGGACUACCGUCCACUUUGGGGAUGGGAAAAUCAGUACAUCACAAAAACCAUGCCGAAAUAGUGAAAGGCACAAUCACCAUACUGUAGACAUCAGAUACACCAAAUGUUAUAUGUCUUUAUAAUUCAUUUUUAUGAGGGGAUGGGUAUACUAAUUUAGAUGUAACAUGGGCGCAACCCCAAGUGUUCUUAAGCUGCCAUCGUUUUAGGUUACAACAUAAAACAUAUGGAACUCCCACUGGGAACUCCCCAGACAUUCAAUGCCUCACAUUUAAAAUGUCCUAUUGGUGAACCACUGUUAUAAUAACUAUAUGGGAAAAUACAAGCAUAUUCUAUUGUAUUUUUUAUCAUACAUUUAAUAAUGUUUUUAAUAUAUAAACUAUCUCCUGCCUCACCCUUUACUUGUCCGUAAUCCACAUAGGAUCAAUACACCAGGUGACCAUUCCCUCUCCCCAUUGUUGACUUUCACCCUUAAACCACACCUUUCAAUAACCACACACAAUAUACUGAGAACACGUUUCCUGUUUUACAUGAUGCAGGUGAGAAAGGAAGACAUCAAAUUAAAGCAAACAGGACAGGUUUGUAGUGGUACAGGGGUAGCUGUGAUG